RNAcentral lists this ribosomal RNA (420 nucleotides) under uncultured bacterium. Its description in RNAcentral is "bacterial SSU rRNA". It matches the Rfam family "Bacterial small subunit ribosomal RNA", at positions 355 to 774 of the family's 1533-position model. The record is from RNAcentral.
UAAGGAAUAUUGCUCAAUGGGAGAAAUCCUGAAGCAGCAACGCCGCGUGGAGGAUGAAGGGUCUAUGACUUGUAAACCCCUGUAAAGAAGGAAAAAAUUCCCAUUAGAUGGGAGAUGAUGGUACUUCUGGAGUAAGCCCCGGCUAACUACGUGCCAGCAGCCGCGGUAAUACGUAGGGGGCAAGCGUUGUCCGGAUUUACUGGGUGUAAAGGGUGCUCAGGCGGAUUUGUAAGUCAGAGGUGAAAUCUUACAGCUUAACUGUGAAACUGCCUUUGAUACUGCAAGCCUAGAGUAUGGAAGAGAGUGAUGGAAUAUCUGGUGUAGCAGUGAAAUGCGUAGAUAUCAGAUAGAACACCAAUGGCGAAGGCAGUCACUUGGUCCAUUACUGACGCUAAAGCACGAAAGCGUGGGUAGCAAACA